GGCGAACCGGGGGAACUGAAACAUCUAAGUACCCCGAGGAAAAGAAAUCAACCGAGAUUCCGAAAGUAGCGGCGAGCGAAAUUGGACUAGCCCUUAAGCUUUACACGCGUUAGACGAACGGUCUGGAAAGUCCGACGAUACAGGGUGAUAGUCCCGUAGUUGACGACGUGUGUUCAGUGAAAUCGAGUAGGGCGGGACACGUGAUAUCCUGUCUGAAUAUGGGGGGACCAUCCUCCAAGGCUAAAUACUACUGACUGACCGAUAGUGAACCAGUACCGUGAGGGAAAGGCGAAAAGAACCCCUGUGAGGGGAGUGAAAUAGAACCUGAAACCGUGUACGUACAAGCAGUAGGAGCAGGCUUUGUCCUGUGACUGCGUACCUUUUGUAUAAUGGGUCAGCGACUUAUAUUCAGUGGCAAGGUUAACCAUCUAGGGGAGCCGUAGGGAAACCGAGUCUUAACUGGGCGUUCAGUCUCUGGAUAUAGACCCGAAACCAGGUGAUCUAGCCAUGGGCAGGUUGAAGGUUGAGUAACAUCAACUGGAGGACCGAACCGACUAAUGUUGAAAAAUUAGCGGAUGACUUGUGGCUAGGGGUGAAAGGCCAAUCAAACCUGGAGAUAGCUGGUUCUCCCCGAAAGCUAUUUAGGUAGCGCCUCGGACGAAUACUACUGGGGGUAGAGCACUGUUAAGGCUAGGGGGUCAUCCCGACUUACCAACCCUUUGCAAACUCCGAAUACCAGUAAGUACUAUCCGGGAGACACACGGCGGGUGCUAACGUCCGUCGUGGAGAGGGAAACAACCCAGACCGCCAGCUAAGGUCCCAAAUUACUACUAAGUGGGAAACGAUGUGGGAAGGCUCAGACAGCCAGGAUGUUGGCUUAGAAGCAGCCAUCAUUUAAAGAAAGCGUAAUAGCUCACUGGUCGAGUCGGCCUGCGCGGAAGAUGUAACGGGGCUAAGUAGUAAACCGAAGCUGCGGCAAUGUGCUUUUGCACAUUGGGUAGGGGAGCGUUCUGUAAGCGGUUGAAGGUGUGUGGUAACGCAUGCUGGACGUAUCAGAAGUGCGAAUGCUGACAUGAGUAACGAUAAAGGGGGUGAAAAACCUCCUCGCCGGAAGACCAAGGGUUCCUGUCCAACGUUAAUCGGGGCAGGGUAAGUCGACCCCUAAGGCGAGGCCGAAAGGCGUAGUCGAUGGGAAACGGGUUAAUAUUCCCGUACUUCUUACAAUUGCGAUGGGGGGACGGAGAAGGCUAGGUGGGCCUGGCGACGGUUGUCCAGGUUCAAGUGCGUAGGCUUAAGAGUUAGGUAAAUCCGGCUCUUUUUAAGGCUGAGACACGACGUCGAGCAUCUACGGAUGUGAAGUCAUUGAUGCCAUGCUUCCAGGAAAAGCCUCUAAGCUUCAGAUUGU
This 1405-nucleotide ribosomal RNA is filed under the name Vibrio parahaemolyticus. Its description in RNAcentral is "partial 23S ribosomal RNA". It matches the Rfam family "Bacterial large subunit ribosomal RNA", at positions 178 to 1635 of the family's 2925-position model. The record is from RNAcentral. Lineage: Bacteria; Pseudomonadati; Pseudomonadota; Gammaproteobacteria; Vibrionales; Vibrionaceae.